RNAcentral lists this ribosomal RNA (516 nucleotides) under uncultured bacterium. Its description in RNAcentral is "bacterial SSU rRNA". It matches the Rfam family "Bacterial small subunit ribosomal RNA", at positions 8 to 518 of the family's 1533-position model. The record is from RNAcentral.
AGAGUUGAUCAUGGCUCAGGAUGAACGCUAGCUACAGGCUUAACACAUGCAAGUCGAGGGGCAGCAUUGGAGUAGCAAUACUCAGAUGGCGACCGGCGCACGGGUGAGUAACACGUAUCCAACCUGCCGCUUACUCGGGGAUAGCCUUUCGAAAGAAAGAUUAAUACCCGAUGGUAUAAAGAGUUCGCAUGUUCUCUUUAUUAAAGAAUUUCGGUAAGCGAUGGGGAUGCGUUCCAUUAGAUAGUUGGCGGGGUAACGGCCCACCAAGUCUACGAUGGAUAGGGGUUCUGAGAGGAAGGUCCCCCACAUUGGAACUGAGACACGGUCCAAACUCCUACGGGAGGCAGCAGUGAGGAAUAUUGGUCAAUGGACGAGAGUCUGAACCAGCCAAGUAGCGUGAAGGAUGACUGCCCUAUGGGUUGUAAACUUCUUUUAUAAGGGAAUAAAGUGAGGGACGUGUCCCUUUUUGUAUGUACCUUAUGAAUAAGGAUCGGCUAACUCCGUGCCAGCAGCAGC